This 497-nucleotide ribosomal RNA is filed under the name uncultured bacterium. Its description in RNAcentral is "partial 16S ribosomal RNA". It matches the Rfam family "Bacterial small subunit ribosomal RNA", at positions 28 to 507 of the family's 1533-position model. The record is from RNAcentral.
GAUGAACGCUGGCGGCGUGCCUAAUACAUGCAGGUCGAGCGAACAGACGAGGAGCUUGCUCCUCUGACGUUAGCGGCGGACGGGUGAGUAACACGUGGAUAACCUACCUAUAAGACUGGGAUAACUUCGGGAAACCGGAGCUAAUACCGGAUAACAUGUUGAACCGCAUGGUUCAACAGUGAAAGACGGUUUUGCUGUCACUUAUAGAUGGAUCCGCGUCGCAUUAGCUAGUUGGUAAGGUAACGGCUUACCAAGGCAACGAUGCGUAGCCGACCUGAGAGGGUGAUCGGCCACACUGGAACUGAGACACGGUCCAGACUCCUACGGGAGGCAGCAGUAGGGAAUCUUCCGCAAUGGGCGAAAGCCUGACGGAGCAACGCCGCGUGAGUGAAGAAGGUCUUCGGAUCGUAAAACUCUGUUAUUAGGGAAGAACAAAUGUGUAAGUAACUAUGCACGUCUUGACGGUACCUAAUCAGAAAGCCACGGCUAACUACGUG